GAUUGAACGCUGGCGGCAUGCCUUACACAUGCAAGUCGAACGGCUAGCACGGGAGCAAUCCUGGUGGCGAGUUGGCGAACGGGUGAGUAAUAUAUCGGAACGUGCCCAGUCGUGGGGGAUAACGUAGCGAAAGCUACGCUAAUACCGCAUACGAUCUAUGGAUGAAANCGGGGGAUCGCAAGACCUCGCGCGAUUGGAGCGGCCGAUAUCAGAUUAGGUAGUUGGUGAGGUAAAGGCUCACCAAGCCGACGAUCUGUAGCUGGUCUGAGAGGACGACCAGCCACACUGGGACUGAGACACGGCCCAGACUCCUACGGGAGGCAGCAGUGGGGAAUUUUGGACAAUGGGCGCAAGCCUGAUCCAGCAAUGCCGCGUGCAGGAUGAAGGCCUUCGGGUUGUAAACUGCUUUUGUACGGAACGAAACGGUGAGCUCUAAUACAGUUUGCUAAUGACGGUACCGUAAGAAUAAGCACCGGCUGACUACGUG
Molecule: ribosomal RNA, 487 nt
Filed under: uncultured bacterium
Lineage: Bacteria
Description: bacterial SSU rRNA
Rfam family: Bacterial small subunit ribosomal RNA
Source: RNAcentral